Molecule: ribosomal RNA, 433 nt
Filed under: uncultured bacterium
Lineage: Bacteria
Description: partial 16S ribosomal RNA
Rfam family: Bacterial small subunit ribosomal RNA
Source: RNAcentral
AACGAACGCUGGCGGCAUGCCUAACACAUGCAAGUCGAACGAGACCUUCGGGUUUGCUGGCGCACGUGUGCGUGACGCGUUGGAACCUGCCCUUAGGUUUGGCAUAUCUCCCCGAAAAGGGUGCUAAUACCGGUUAAUGUCUUCCGACCAAAGAUUUAUCGCCUUGGGAGGGGCUCGCGGUGGUUUGGCUAUUUGGUAGGGUAAAAGGCUACCGAGGCGACGAUGCAUAGCUGGUCUGAGAGGAUGAUCAGUCACACUGGGACUGAGACACGGCCCGGACAUUUACGGGAGGCAGCAGUGGGGAAUAUGGGACGACGGGCGAGAGCCUGAUGCAGCAAGGCCGCGUAAGUGAUGAAGGGCUGAGGGGGGUAAAGCGCUUAAUACCGGGAGGAUAAUGACAGUACCGGGAGAAUAAGCACCGGCUAACUCCGUG